UACGGGGGGAGCAAGCGUUGUUCGGAUUUACUGGGCGUAAAGGGCGCGUAGGCGGCCAGCACAAGUCAGUUGUGAAAUCUCCGAGCUUAACUCGGAAAGGUCAACUGAUACUGUGCGGCUAGAGUGCGGAAGGGGCAACUGGAAUUCUUGGUGUAGCGGUGAAAUGCGUAGAUAUCAAGAGGAACACCUGCGGCGAAGGCGGGUUGCUGGGCCGACACUGACGCUGAGGAGCGAAAGCGUGGGGAGCGAACAGG
This 254-nucleotide ribosomal RNA is filed under the name uncultured bacterium. RNAcentral describes it as "partial 16S ribosomal RNA". It matches the Rfam family "Bacterial small subunit ribosomal RNA", at positions 524 to 776 of the family's 1533-position model. The record is from RNAcentral.